Molecule: ribosomal RNA, 468 nt
Filed under: uncultured bacterium
Lineage: Bacteria
Description: partial 16S ribosomal RNA
Rfam family: Bacterial small subunit ribosomal RNA
Source: RNAcentral
GACGAACGCUGGCGGCGUGCUUAACACAUGCAAGUCGAACGGAAAGGCCCUGCUUUUGUGUGGUGCUCGAGUGGCGAACGGGUGAGUAACACGUGAGUAACCUGCCCUUGACUUUGGGAUAACUUCAGGAAACUGGGGCUAAUACCGGAUAGGAGCUCCUGCUGCAUGGUGGGGGUUGGAAAGUUUCGGCGGUUGGGGCUGGACUCGCGGCUUAUGAGCUUGUUGGUGGGGUAGUGGCUUACCAAGGCUUUGACGGGUAGCCGGCCUGAGAGGGUGACCGGCCACAUUGGGACUGAGAGACGGCGCAGACUCCUACGGGAGGCAGCAGUGGGGAAUAUGGCACAAUGGGCGGAAGCCUGAUGCAGCAACGCCGCGUGCGGGAAGACGGCUUUCGGGUGGUAAACCGCUUUCGCCUGAGACGAAGCGUGAGUGACGGUAAUGGGUAAAGAAGCACCGGCUAACUACGUG